GGCUCCAAGAAUCCGAAAGAAUAUUUACAGAGGAAUAAGGCAAAGGCCAUGGGGAAAAUGGGCAGCUGAGAUUAGAGACCCACAAAAAGGAGUUAGAGUAUGGCUAGGUACCUUCAGCACUGCUGAAGAAGCUGCUCGUGCCUAUGAUGAGGCAGCCAAGCGCAUCCGUGGUGACAAGGCUAAGCUCAAUUUUCCUACACCAACACCCCUAGCAGCACCAGCACCAGCACCAGCAGCACCUACUGAAGUCGAAGCUCCAGUUCUGCCACCGCCAUCCAAGAAAAGCUGCACCAUGAGCAGUCCUGAAACCAAACCAGUUGAAUAUGGGCCGAAAGAGGAAAUAACAAGCCUCGAGACUUUUCUUGGAUUGGAGCCUGAACAGAUGGUGGCUCAGCUGAAUGGAAGUGGAUGUGAAGGUGGUGACUUUGUGG
RNAcentral lists this long non-coding RNA (431 nucleotides) under Ricinus communis (castor bean). RNAcentral's name for it is "long non-coding RNA (RCOM_LNC000823)". The record is from RNAcentral. Lineage: Eukaryota; Viridiplantae; Streptophyta; Magnoliopsida; Malpighiales; Euphorbiaceae.